CGGGCGGAGGGCCUCCCCCGGAAUCUGUAUUCAAGGCAUGGGAACUUGACAUUUUGUCAAUUAUACCGGAUGAACUUAUCUCUGGGAUUGACGGAGGGGUUGAUACUGCCUUUGCCAGUAAUUCUGAAACAAAUAACUCAGCCUCAUCAUGCACUGCAGUCCCAUCGGAAAUUUACGCUGGAAUUCCAUCCUUGAUUG
This is a long non-coding RNA of Saccostrea cuccullata (small rock oyster), 198 nucleotides long. RefSeq lists it as uncharacterized. The transcript has 3 exons. The record is from RefSeq and is a predicted model, not a curated record. NCBI's taxonomy places the organism in Eukaryota, Metazoa, Mollusca, Bivalvia, Ostreida, Ostreidae.